UUUAUAUCAUUAAACUGUGGUCUUUAAUAAUAAAACACCCUUCAUACAAAAGUAUAUGUACAGUGUCACAGCAAUUUAUGGAAACGCAUUUCUUUGUAUUCGUCUUAAAUAUAACAUGUAUCAACAGUCAUUCAAGAAAAAUCAACAAUAGACAGGAAAUCAAACAAGAGUUUCAGGCCAGGAUGAAAUGAUGUAGAAGUCAACCAUUACUGGUCCUUCCUGAUGACACUGUGGUCUUUUCUUAAGACUUAUUAAUACAUUCAUGUGAUUCUUAUGGAAGAGGUCUGACACUUGUGUAUACCUGGAAUAAAACACCAAACUAUAAAUGCUGAAUACUGCUUGGGAAAAAAGCACAUACAAAUGGCUUCUGAAAGAGGAUGAAUUUUGUUAUUAGAUGACAUUACAUUAUAGAGCAGUUCCAUAAUGAAAAAGAAAAAAAGACUGCAGUGAAUGCAGAGGAACGGCCAUCCUGCUCCUCUUCAACAGUAUGCAGUGCACAUCAUUUGCAUUUUGGUUUUUCUGAUAUCUGAAUAACUGUACACAGUGGGAAAAUACAAUGACAUUAAAGGAGCUUCAAGGAAAAAGUUGACCAAGCAGCCCUGAAGAUUUUGCUUCAACCUUCUCAAGCCUGUUGUUCACACUGGAAGUGACUGAUAUUGCACGUUUUCACAUUUGUAUAAAAUUUCUAUUUUAUACAAAUGGGAAAAACAGAGCUGGAGUGGCUGUACAGCACUCAAAAAGUUAGAUCUAGAGAAAAAAAACAUUUAGAACUGGGUGCAAAAAUAGAAUUGUGGCAUCAACAAUUUGAAGUAAUGAACCCUUCAAGUGUAGACAGCUUUGUUGCAUAUAAUAGGAGCUAUUGAGUUUUGUUACAUGGAGACGUGCCGCUCGCAUCCAGUGUUGACACAGCAUCAAACUGUGAAGCACAGCUGUCAGGGUUUAUAAUUCUGGGUGAGUAAAUCAGAGAGAAUACAAGUUCUCACAAUGGUCAGGCUGGGGAAAAAAAGGGGUUUGCACAAUGUGUGCGUAUGUCUUUUAUAUUCUGGAAGCAGGACUCGGUUGUGCAGCAUGAGAAAGGGUGUCAUUGGUACACGGACAUUCCUCGCCCUUUCUGCCCACUCUGACCAACAGCAGUUCUUUUCCUGGCACAGUGCCUGGUAUAUAGCGGGCUUUGCUCUCAGGUUGGUACUGGCACAUCAUAGCUCCCGCUGUAAUACUGAGUGGCAUUUAAAGGACUAGUUCACCCAGAAAUGAAAAUUGUGUCAUUUCUCAUUAUCAUGUCGUUCCACACCUGUGAGACUUUCUUUCUUCUGAAAAACACAGAAGAAAAAUGGCAUUUAAAACGUGUCUCUGUUUUUUUUUUUGUUUUUUUGUCCAUACAAUGAAAGAAUUGUGGAAUAACAGAAAAAAAAUAGCUUAAAAACUUUUUUUUUUAGUUAUUUUAUUUAUUUAUUUUUUUUUAAUGAAAAAAAAAGUUGUCUUAAGCCACAUCAUUCACAGGGUUGUUUUUAUCAAACCCAUUCUACAUUAAUAAAUAAUUAAAAUAAUAAUUAGUUUAACUAUUACUGUUAAUAACUAUAUAUA
Long non-coding RNA from Cyprinus carpio carpio, 1584 nucleotides. The record is from Ensembl. NCBI's taxonomy places the organism in Eukaryota, Metazoa, Chordata, Actinopteri, Cypriniformes, Cyprinidae.